AGCAAUUUUCCUCUUCAUAUUUGGUGCUAUGGUCAGCUCCAAAGUCAUGGAUUUAAAAAGAAUGUUAUUUAAAGUAUAUAAUAAAAAAGAAGUAUUGCUUUCAUAGCUUGCGUAGCUGCUUCAACUGGGGAAAGGGCUUCUAUUUAAAGACAUGAUGAGGUCUAAGAGCUGGACAAGCUCAUCAAAUGGCAACAGGAAUUUGCCAGCCACAAAGUCUGAUAAAGCAUACAACAAAUGGACUGCUUCCUUCAGUACCGGCAACCUUUCAUAUCUAGGGCCGCUGUAUCCCUGGGUUCAACCACCUGUGGACUGAAAGUACCUGGGGAGUAAAACUGUGUCGGCAUUGGAUGCACA
Non-coding RNA from Mus caroli (Ryukyu mouse), 354 nucleotides. The record is from RefSeq and is a predicted model, not a curated record. NCBI's taxonomy places the organism in Eukaryota, Metazoa, Chordata, Mammalia, Rodentia, Muridae.